CGGCCGCCCUCCCGCCCCGCCGGUCACGUGUUCCUUCGCGCGGGCGGGCGGGCGCCGGACCCGGAAGUCGCGGUGGCUGCGGAGGCGCCGGGCGGGAUGGGGGAGUCGAUCCCGCUGGGAGCGCCGGUGCCCGUGGAGCAGGCCGUGCUGGAGACCUUCUUCUCCCACCUGGGCAUCUUCUCCUACGACAAGGCCAAGGACAAUGUGGAGAAGGAGCGGGAGGCCAACAAGAGCGCGGGGUCCAGCUGGCUGGCGCUGCUGGCCGGGCUGGCGCACCUGGCGGCGGCCGAGAAGGCCUAUCACAGCAUGACCUUCCUGGGACAGAAGCUAGGUGGUCAGUCAUUCUUCAGCCGAAAGGACUCCAUCCGAACCAUCUACACAUCUCUGCACAAUGAGCUGAAGAAGGUGGUGGCGACGGGUCACAAUGCACUAGGAGGAACAGCUCCUCACUUGGAAGAGCUGCUUUCUCACCUGUCUGAACAGCUCUGUUUUUUUGUUCAGGCUCGGAUGGAAAUUGCUGACUUCUAUGAAAAAAUGUACACGCUCAGCACCCAAAAGUUCAUUAACUCUGAGGAACUGGUAAACAUUUUGGAAUCCAUCUUAAAGAAAUACAGUUCAAGAUUUCAUCACCCAAUCCUCAGUCCUCUUGAAAGCAGUUUCCAGCUGGAGGUAGAUGUGCUUGCACACCUCUUAAAGGCUCAGGCUCAGAUCUCAGAGUGGAAGUUCCUUCCAUCCCUGGUCAACUUGCACAGUGCUCACACAAAGCUACAGACUUGGGGCCAAAUUUUUGAGAAGCAGCGGGAGACCAAGAAGCACCUGUUUGGAGGGCAGUCUCAGAAGGCUGUGCAACCUCCACACCUCUUCCUCUGGCUGAUGAAGCUAAAAAACAUUCUCCUUGCCAAGUUUAGUUUUUACUUUCAUGAGGCCCUUAGUCGACAGACAACAGCGUCCGAAAUGAAAACUUUGACUGCUAAAACAAAUCCUGAUUACUUUGGGAAAAUUUCCAGCUUCAUCCGGAAAUAUGAUGCUGUCAAUGUUUCCUUAAUUUUUGACAAUCGUGGGUCAGAGAGUUUUCAGGGACAUGGUUAUCAUCAUCCGCAUUCAUACAGGGAAGCCCCCAAAGGAGUGGAUCAGUAUCCUGCAGUGGUGUCUCUGCCCAGUGACAGGCCUGUUAUGCACUGGCCCAAUGUGAUCAUGAUUAUGACUGAUAGAACCUCUGACCUCAACAGUUUGGAGAAGGUUGUUCACUUCUACGAUGACAAAGUCCAAAGCACCUACUUUCUGACUCGCCCCGAACCUCACUUUACCAUUGUAGUUAUUUUUGAGUCCAAGAAGUCAGAAAGGGACUAUCAUUUCAUUUCUUUUCUCAAUGAAAUUUCACAUUCCCUUAAGAACUCCAAAGCUUUUGCAAGCUUGAAACCUGGAUCCAAAGGCCAAGCAAGAGAUGACAGGCUCUCGGUGCUCUGCCAUGAGUGGACUGCAGUACACUGCUUGUCAAAAUGCAAAGUCCAGGAGGGAGGAGAAGUUGGUAUCCACGCGAAGGAUGCUCAUGAAUGGAUUUCGAUGGUGGAAAACACAUGCACUGCAUCAAAGAUGAUUUCAACAUUGGAUAUUUUGCCCCUUUUAGUCUUCCUAAAUAUGAAAAUACAUGUAUAUUCAUAAAACACUUGAGGAGUGUUAUCCCUGUUUGGUGGGUCUGUCAGCUUAGGAAAGAUAUUAGGGAAGUUUGCAAGAGCCUUGGGAGUGGGAAACACCCGCCCUCCAGAUUUGGAGUAGGGGUGUGAAACCUGUUUGCAUGUGUGUGUUCAUAUGUGUGUGUAAUGGAGACUGGAAACAGAAACCAAGAGAUAUUGCUUUAUCCUUGCAGAGACCCAGAAGUUGUUGGUUGCACAAUAAAUGGGAGAAAUGAAAAAUGAUGUUGUAGCAGUAUAAUCAAGUGGCUUCUAAAAAAAAUAAAUAUGGGGAUAAUUUUUCUAUGAAACACUCUAAGAUCUCACCAAGGGACACUUGAUGUUAUCAGAUACAUUUAAAAGGAAGAAGUCUCAAACUGAUCAUGUUUCUGAAAGGUCAGUGGCUGCAGGACAUUUGCAAACCAUGAAUGAUUAACAGAUGGAGUUUAAAAGGCAGCGAGUUUCCAUCCCUUCCUGUGGUGCUCACAGCUGAAGGAAACACACAGGAAGGAUCUUUAGGCCCUGCUGCUUCCUUUCCCUGCACACCCUGACCCAGCAGCGAGGACACCCUGCGCAAAGCAUCUCCCAGCACUUGGGUACGUGAGAGUGAGUUGGACCCAGCUCAUCGCCUCUUUGCCUGUAUCUUUUGUCCCAUAUUUUUGGCACUCUAACACAGAGUCAUCUUCUGCCCAGUUUAAGAUCAUUCUGCACUCAGGUCCUUCCCCUGUCAAACUCUGCCCUGCUGGAGUGGGACAGCAGAGGUGCUGGGCAGCAUUUCCAGAGAUAGGAGUGAAUUCCAACAGCCCUGGAGAGAAGAGCACCGCUCCCACUUCAGCGCUAUCUCGACAGAAGUUAUGAACAAACCUCAUUAUCCCUGACUCUUACUUAGACAAGCAACACUGGGAAAUAUUCUGCACAUAAGCCUAACCUCAGAGUGAUUUGUAUUUCCAGAACUGCAGCAUCCAAUUCCAUGAGCAUUUCUGCCACAUACAAAGGGUUUUUUUCCCCUCUUGAUGUGUUUUAUUUGAUACUGGAAUCCCUCCUUUAGUCAGAUGAUGACUGCUGCCAGUGCUUUGAAAAGUGGAAACAGUGGGGAAACUGAGCCACUGCAGGCACUGGAGAUGUUUGUGUUGGUGUUAGCAAAGAGAGUAAAGAGCCUCAGGAAUGAUGUGUGGCAUUCAGUAGCCUUGUAGGAAUGGCACAGGUGACAUAUUUACCUCCAGUCCUCCUCCAGGGGAGCAAGGUGUGGACUGUCUCCUACUGCAUUUGAGUGCUGCUUUACCUUGACCAUGACACAUGGGAUUCAGAGUGUGUUAGAGGACUUGGAUAGAUUUGAAUGCUCUCACACUUAGUCUCAUUCAGGUGAGCAGAGGGGAAAAUGUGCCACUGAUGUUGUGGUGGCCAGGGGUGAGUCCUGGAGGUCACAGUGCAGGGACCAGGGUAGUGCUGCCACCCUGCAUGGACAUAUUCAAAUGGGGCUCCUUCCGCAGCUGAUGUCUGGGGCAGAUGCUGCUAAAUUUGUAAGGCCUGAGCAAAUAUCUUUGUUUUUUUCCACCAAGAAAAGGAAACACUGGGAAAAGUUAAAUUAUCUUCAGGAACUGCCUUCCCAUUGAUUUUAUUAACUAAGAAUGAAAAGCACAUGAAGCGUAACUGAAUUAUUCUGUGACUAGUGUUACUAAUAGAUCUCUAGAAGAAUUGAGUUUGCUUUGAGGUAAUAAUAAAUGCACCUGGUACUGGAGAUGGAACUGUAGUGCACACAGAAAUGGCAUUGAGAUGCUGGAGCCUGCUGGUGUGCCUAUAUAGCAGGAAAAAAGUUAAAACACUGAAAUGCAAAACACACAAACUGAUGGUAUGGAAAGAGAAUAUCAAGUUAUUUCUGUAGAGGCCAAACCAGGGACCCAAUAUUACCACACAGGUACGGAAGAAACUCAAAUUUUUACAUAAAAGCUUGUAAAUCAGCUGCUGCUCCACUGAACGUGCACAUUUUCAUGGGCACAACUCACGGAUGUACAUGGAUACAAAUGGCAUUUAGGCCUACAGUACGUAAGAAAUUAUAUUAGUUCUGAAUGUCCAGGGUUUGACAAAGUUAAUUUUUAAUACUGGGAGAAUUUUGAAGGUCUGAGGUGUAGUGACAGCAUUGCCCAGGGUCUGGUUGGAGAAAGCUGGGCAGAACCUGCUGUGCUGCCAGCCUGGGGGCAGGAGAAGGGUGGUCCUGUGAGGAUGUGAAAAUGGGGGUCCCUCCAAUCAGGGUGCCUGGUGUUCCCCACGUUCUGCACAGGGAUGCAGGGCUUUCCCCCUCCAAAACAGAUCCCAUUACCUUGUUUUCUUAACCAGAAAUAAAACAUGCAGCAGGAAUUUUGCAAUGUACCAGGUCAUUCAAGAAAUGGCUUUCAAGAAAUGAUACAUGCAUACAUACAUAUUUAUUUGGUUUUAGUUUGUAAUUUUGGGACAGGUACAGAGAAGGGUUCAGAAUUGCUUUAUGAUUUAACAGCCCCUGAUUAGCCACAUUUCUAUCUCUGAUUGUAACAUUGUAUAUAAACUGAUUUGUUCAGAAUAACUUUGACUUAAUCAUAAAGUAAGCCUUGUGAUGUGUAUGACAAAUUUAAAAAUUAUCUUCACACCAGGUCUGAAAUUAAUUUUUAACAUAUUUUUGUAGUAGUUUUGUAGUAGAUUUCAGCUUUUCAGCUUUAAAAAAAUUAAUAGCUGAGAAAACUGUCCAGGUGAAGUUCAGCUUAAACCCGUGAGUAUUGAUGGAAAACCCUGCUGUGUUCACCUUGGUGCUGCUUGCCAGGGUGCUGGGGUGCUGCUGUAAUGUCUGUCUCAGAAAAGAUUGUAGGCAGGUAAAAACCCAAUUAAAAUAUGUGUUGCAAUGAGUUGUUUCAAGGUACUCAGCAGUUCUAGGCUGAAGUCAUGAAGGAUUUUAGGCGUUUUCCACCUUUAACAUAUUGAAAUUCUCUAUUCAUGACUCUGGUACAAACAUCCAUAUUAAUGCCAUUUCUUUGCAAUCAAAAACUCACUGCCAGAAGCCUGACCAUUUCAAUGAGUGUCUCAUUCACCUCCAGAGGAGUGCUGGGCUCAGCGAUUUGUCCCUCCUGGAGCGUAAUUCAUUCAAAUAAAUGUAAAUCACUAUUUUAUGUUGUUUGGUCAGGGUUUAUAGAUGUCAAUGUACACUACUGAAAAGGCACAUGGCAGAUAUUAAGGGAGGAAUCAAUGUGCUUCACAGAGAUGAGAAUGGGCAGGGGUUGGUUUUGGUUUAUCCACGGUGCUGCAGUCAGUGCAGCUAUUAUUGAUUUUGAUCCCACAAGUGUUUGACCUCCUUUGUACAGCACAACUUGUCUAUAUUUCACAGCUGAAUUUUUUUUUGCCUUGUACUUCAUGUUCAUAUUCCAUUAGUAUGCUACUUGAAAAAAAUAAAUCGAUGCAGCUUGCUAAUUAAAAAAAGGGAAAUUCCUCAACCUCCAACCCUGAAUCAUUAAGCUGCUCUCCUGUGUCUGCGGUGACCAGUGUGGCCUGACCCUGCUGGGAGAUGGCAGUGACACAACUGGGGAUCACAGAAUCAUAGAGCAUUUUAGGUUGGAAAAGACCUUUCAGAUCAUCGAGUCCAAUUGCCAAUCCAGCACUGCCAUGUCCACCCCCAAACCACAUCUCCAAAUGCCACAUCUAUAUGGCUUUUAAAUACCUCCAGGGAUGGUGACUCAGCCACUUCCCUGGGCAGCCUUUUCCUGUGCUUCACAGCAUUUUCAGUGAAGAAAUUUUUCUAACAUCCAGUCCAAACCUCCUGUGAUUCAUCUUGAGGCCAUUUCCUCUUGGCUUAUCUCUUCUUACUCAGGAGAAGAGACAGACAUGGGGCACACUACUUGGGCAGGUGUGGGGCAGAGGCUCAGCUGACUGCAGAGUUACAGUAAAACGUAUAUUCCUCCAUUUUUAAUUUGCACAUAUAUAUUGAGAAUGGUAAGAGAAAGCCUGCUCAUCAGCCAGACCCAGAUCAUGUCAUUUGACUCUAAUCCCCCAGCCAGCAUCAAGUUGUGCAUGCCUCCUUCCAGCUUGGGCCUGCCAUCUCUCAGUGGACCUGCUGUGCAAGCUGGUAAGGGAAUACAGAGCUCUUCUCCCCCUGGGCUCCAUCCAGCUUAGUGCCACUGCACAAGUUCUGUUCUCCCUCCUGCUCUCUCUGAGGCCUGCCAUUUUCUGUUUUCCUUUCCACCGGUUUUAGCCCUGCUGAUGAGUGGGAUUGGCCGGCUGAGAGGAACCAAACACUGUGCCAGGGCCACAGCCCUGCUGGGGCUGGGGGGAGCUGGGUGUCCAGUGGGGCUGAGUGCCAGGAAAGGCUGAGGGGCGCCAGGACCUGGGGAUGGGGCCGAGGCUGCUCCAGUCCAGGGGAGCUGCAGCACUGCGGUGCAGAGUGAGCGACACCUCCGAGCCAUAAGGGCUCCCUGGCAGGAUAAACUUGCUCUGGCUGGGUCUGCUGGAGCCAGAGUGCUGGCAGAGACUGGUGCUG
RNA transcript from Motacilla alba alba, 6165 nucleotides. It is a transcript of the gene named chromosome 1A C12orf66 homolog, with no coding region annotated. The record is from RefSeq and is a predicted model, not a curated record. Lineage: Eukaryota; Metazoa; Chordata; Aves; Passeriformes; Motacillidae. The transcript has 5 exons.